This 836-nucleotide ribosomal RNA is filed under the name Dorcadion etruscum etruscum. Its description in RNAcentral is "partial large subunit ribosomal RNA". It matches the Rfam family "Eukaryotic large subunit ribosomal RNA", at positions 42 to 646 of the family's 3401-position model. Lineage: Eukaryota; Metazoa; Arthropoda; Insecta; Coleoptera; Cerambycidae. The record is from RNAcentral.
AUUACUAAGCGGAGGAAAAGAAACUAACUAGGAUUCCCUCAGUAGCUGCGAGCGAACAGGGAAGAGCCCAGCACCGAAUCCCGCGGCCGAUACCGGGCGCCGGGAAAUGUGGUGUUAGGGAGGAUCCGUUUAUCCCGAGGUCGUGCGGUGCGUCCAAGUCCUUCUUGAACGGGGCCACAGCCCAUAGAGGGUGCCAGGCCCGUAGCGACCGCUGCCGAUCGCGGGAGGAUCUCUCCUCAGAGUCGGGUUGCUUGAGAGUGCAGCCCUAAGUGGGUGGUAAACUCCAUCUAAGGCUAAAUAUGACCACGAGACCGAUAGCGAACAAGUACCGUGAGGGAAAGUUGAAAAGCACUUUGAAGAGAGAGUUCAAGAGUACGUGAAACCGUUCAGGGGUAAACCUGAGAAACCCGAAAGGUCGAAAGGGGAAAUUCAUUCGCGUCUCGACCGUCGGAGCGGAGCGUUCGUGCGACGGACGGCGUACGCGUCGUCCGCGCCUUUCGUUCCGCGAUCCGGCGUCGAACGCGUGCACUUUUCCCCUAGUAGGACGUCGCGAUCCGUUGGGUGUCGGUCUAAGGCUCGCGGUGGAGCCCGAGCGUGCGUCUUCGGACGUUCGCGCUCGGACCCGCGGUGUCCCGGCCGACCCGCUCGACGGUAUACAGAUGGCGCGGGGCCGCAAAUUCAAUUUGCGUUCGGCCCGCGGCAAGCGCGUACGGUGUUGACGGCGAUCGGACCCGGUGCCGAUCCCGUCCCCGGACGACUGUUGGCCGCGGUGCUCUCGAACAGACCUCGUUCUCGAAACGCCGAUCUGCGACGCUAUAGCUUUGGGUACUUUCAGG